GUAGGGUGCAAGCGUUAAUCGGAAUUACUGGGCGUAAAGCGUGCGCAGGCGGCUUUGCAAGACAGAUGUGAAAUCCCCGGGCUUAACCUGGGAACUGCAUUUGUGACUGCAUGGCUGGAGUGCGGCAGAGGGGGAUGGAAUUCCGCGUGUAGCAGUGAAAUGCGUAGAUAUGCGGAGGAACACCGAUGGCGAAGGCAAUCCCCUGGGCCUGCACUGACGCUCAUGCACGAAAGCGUGGGGAGCAAACAGGAUUAGAUACCCUGGUAGUCCACGCCCUAAACGAUGUCAACUGGUUGUUGGACGGCUUGCUGUUCAGUAACGAAGCUAACGCGUGAAGUUGACCGCCUGGGGAGUACGGCCGCAA
Molecule: ribosomal RNA, 364 nt
Filed under: uncultured bacterium
Lineage: Bacteria
Description: bacterial SSU rRNA
Rfam family: Bacterial small subunit ribosomal RNA
Source: RNAcentral